UUCGCUCGGGCAGUUUGGGCCAUAGUUCAAGUAGCUUCUAAUUUAUACCCACCACGUAGUGCACGGAAUAUGUUCGGCAACUGGUUGUGCGGUAUUGAUAAACAAUUUUCUUCACACAUUCUCGUGGGAGCGGCGGCAUUAUGCUGGGCAUUGUGGCUUACCAGGAAUGAUGUGAUCUUUAAUAACAAAUGUGUCUCAUCUCCUAUGCAGGUUAUUCAUGUUUGUACACGAUGGCUCCGUACUUGGUCUAUCCUGCAGAGGCCGGAGGACAGGGACCUUUUUAUGAUGGCGUCUACACGGCUGGAGCGUUCGGCCACGGAGGUUUUCUACCCCCAUGGAUGGCGGUGUGGUCUACGGAUAGGAUCUACCGCACCUUAG
RNAcentral lists this ribosomal RNA (378 nucleotides) under Triticum aestivum (bread wheat). Its description in RNAcentral is "partial small subunit ribosomal RNA". The record is from RNAcentral. Lineage: Eukaryota; Viridiplantae; Streptophyta; Magnoliopsida; Poales; Poaceae.